AUUGAACGCUGGCGGCAUGCCUAAUACAUGCAAGUCGAACGAGUAGCGGACGGGUGAAUAGUUUCUGGGAAACUGCCUGAUGGAGGGGGCUAACUACUGGAACAGGUAGCUAAUACCGCAUAACCUCGGCUGUGCCCAGAGGGGAUUAGCUAGUAGGUUUGUUAACGGCUAACCUAGGAGACGAUCCCGAGCUGGUCUGAGAGGAUGACCAGCCACACUGGAACUGAGACACGGUCCAGACUCCUACGGGAGGCAGCAGUGGGGAAUAUUGCACAAGGGGCGAAAGCCUGAUGCAGCCAUGCCGCGUGUAUGAAGAAGGCCUUCGGGUUGUAAAGUACUUUCAUCGGGGAGGCGUUACCCGAAGAAGAAGCACCGGCUAACUCCGUGCCAGCAGCCGCGGUAAUAC
Molecule: ribosomal RNA, 406 nt
Filed under: uncultured bacterium
Lineage: Bacteria
Description: partial 16S ribosomal RNA
Rfam family: Bacterial small subunit ribosomal RNA
Source: RNAcentral